AUCGAACGCUGGCGGCAUGCUUUACACAUGCAAGUCGAACGGCAGCACGGGUGCUUGCACCUGGUGGCGAGUGGCGAACGGGUGAGUAAUACAUCGGAACAUGUCCUGUAGUGGGGGAUAGCCCGGCGAAAGCCGGAUUAAUACCGCAUACGAUCUACGGAUGAAAGCGGGGGGCUUUCGGGCCUCGCGCUGUAGGGUUGGCCGAUGGCUGAUUAGCUAGUUGGUGGGGUAAAGGGCCACCAAGGGGAGUAUCAGGAGCUGGUCUGAGAGGAGGACCAGCGACACUGGGACUGAGACACGGCCCAGAGUCCUACGGGAGGCAGCAGUGGGGAAUGUUGGACAAUGGGCGAAAGCCUGAUCCAGCAAUGCCGCGUGUGUGAAGAAGGCCUUCGGGUUGUAAAGCACUUUUGUCCGGAAAGAAAUCCUUGGCCCUAAUACGGUCGGGGGAUGACGGUACCGGAAGAAUAAGCACCGGCUAACUACGUG
Molecule: ribosomal RNA, 486 nt
Filed under: uncultured bacterium
Lineage: Bacteria
Description: partial 16S ribosomal RNA
Rfam family: Bacterial small subunit ribosomal RNA
Source: RNAcentral